GACGAACGCUGGCGGCGUGCUUAACACAUGCAAGUCGAACGGAAAGGCCUGCUUUCCCUUGUGGAUUGCGGGUACUCGAGUGGCGAACGGGUGAGUAACACGUGAGUGAUCUGCCCCCAACUUGGGUAUAAGCCUGGGAAACUGGGUCUAAUUCCCGAUAGGACUGCAGGGUGGUGCCUGUGGUGGAAAACGAUUUUCUAGUGGUUGGGGAUGAGCUCGCGGCCUAUCAGCUUGUUGGUGGGGUAAUGGCCUACCAAGGCGGCGACGGGUAGCCGGCCUGAGAGGGUGGACGGCCACAGUGGGACUGAGAUACGGCCCAGGCUCCUACGGGAGGCAGCAGUGGGGAAUAUUGCACAAUGGGCGGAAGCCUGAUGCAGCGACGCCGCGUGGGGGAUGACGGCCUUCGGGUUGUAAACUCCUUUCGACCGCGAGGAAGCCACCUGGUUGGAAGGGUGGUGACGGUAGUGGUAGAAGAAGCACCGGCUAACUACGUG
Molecule: ribosomal RNA, 494 nt
Filed under: uncultured bacterium
Lineage: Bacteria
Description: partial 16S ribosomal RNA
Rfam family: Bacterial small subunit ribosomal RNA
Source: RNAcentral